Molecule: ribosomal RNA, 173 nt
Filed under: Tausonia pullulans
Lineage: Eukaryota; Fungi; Basidiomycota; Tremellomycetes; Cystofilobasidiales; Mrakiaceae
Description: partial 26S ribosomal RNA
Source: RNAcentral
UGCAGGCCAGCAUCAGUUUUGGGCGGUGGAAAAGGUUGGCGGGAAUGUGGCAUCCUCGGAUGUGUUAUAGCCCGCUUUCGAAUACAUCGCCCGGGACUGAGGAACGCAGCACGCCUCUUGUAGGUCGGUCUUCGGACACGUCCGUGCUUAGGAUGCUGGCAUAAUGGUUUAAA